RNAcentral lists this unclassified non-coding RNA (423 nucleotides) under Hevea brasiliensis (rubber tree). Lineage: Eukaryota; Viridiplantae; Streptophyta; Magnoliopsida; Malpighiales; Euphorbiaceae. The record is from RNAcentral.
GAUGAAUAUCAAUGAUAUGGAGAUUGUCCUAUCUAUUAUGAAGGAUGCUGGAUAUAGUGAAGUUGUAGAUGUUCCUGAAAAUGCUGAGAUCAUAUUCAUCAAUACUUGUGCUAUAAGGGACAAUGCUGAACACAAAGUGUGGCAGAGACUUAAUUACUUUUGGUUUCUAAAGAGACAUUGGAAGAGCAACGUUGCUAUUGGAAGGUCACAGUCACUUAGUCCUCCUAAGGUGGUUGUUUUGGGAUGUAUGGCUGAACGGUUAAAGGACAAGAUACUUGAUGCAGAUAAGAUGGUUGAUGUGGUUUGUGGACCUGAUGCCUACAGAGAUUUACCACGAUUACUGGAGGAGGUAGACUAUGGCCAAAAGGGGAUCAAUACUCUACUUUCACUUGGAGAUUCGAACUGGACUAAUAUCAGCAUAAG